Molecule: ribosomal RNA, 235 nt
Filed under: uncultured Staphylococcus sp.
Lineage: Bacteria; Bacillati; Bacillota; Bacilli; Caryophanales; Staphylococcaceae
Description: partial 16S ribosomal RNA
Rfam family: Bacterial small subunit ribosomal RNA
Source: RNAcentral
GGUUAGUAACACGUUGAUAACCUACCUAUAAGACUGGGAUAACUUCGGGAAACCGGAGCUAAUACCGGAUAAUAUAUUGAACCGCAUGGUUCAAUAGUGAAAGACGGUUUUGCUGUCACUUAUAGAUGGAUCCGCGCCGCAUUAGCUAGUUGGUAAGGUAACGGCUUACCAAGGCAACGAUGCGUAGCCGACCUGAGAGGGUGAUCGGCCACACUGGAACUGAGACACGGUCCAG